GAUGAACGCUGGCGGCGUGCCUAAUACAUGCAAGUCGAGCGAACAGACGAGGAGCUUGCUCCUCUGACGUUAGCGGCGGACGGGUGAGUAACACGUGGAUAACCUACCUAUAAGACUGGUAUAACUUCGGGAAACCGGAGCUAAUACCGGAUAAUAUAUUGAACCGCAUGGUUCAAUAGUGAAAGACGGUUUUGCUGUCACUUAUAGAUGGAUCCGCGCCGCAUUAGCUAGUUGGUAAGGUAACGGCUUACCAAGGCAACGAUGCGUAGCCGACCUGAGAGGGUGAGCGGCCACACUGGAACUGAGACACGGUCCAGACUCCUACGGGAGGCAGCAGUAGGGAAUCUUCCGCAAUGGGCGAAAGCCUGACGGAGCAACGCCGCGUGAGUGAUGAAGGUCUUCGGAUCGUAAAACUCUGUUAUUAGGUAAGAACAAAUGUGUAAGUAACUAUGCACGUCUUGACGGGACCUAAUCAGAAAGCCACGGCUAACUACGUG
This 497-nucleotide ribosomal RNA is filed under the name uncultured bacterium. Its description in RNAcentral is "partial 16S ribosomal RNA". It matches the Rfam family "Bacterial small subunit ribosomal RNA", at positions 28 to 507 of the family's 1533-position model. The record is from RNAcentral.